CUUGAAAUGAAGAAGAAUGAGCACUAAGUUAGAAAAAUGGGGCAAAUCAUGCAGAAAUACAUCAGAGUUCAGUGGAGGUGUUGGAAGUAGAUAAUAGGAAUGAUCUGGGAGGUUUUGUGAUGGGAAUAUUGCCAAGCUGCAAAUAUGCUAUAAAUGUCUCAGGGACUGAGGCACACAGGAUAUAAACCUUUUGAAAAAGAACAGAUUUCAUGGCUCUGCUACUCUGAGAACAAUGUGUUUACUGGGAAUGUUGGACUAAAACUGAAUUUCUUCAUCAACAGCUAUCGUCAGUGUGUGCUGUGUUGUAAGUGGGCAGGGGACUUCUGCCUGCAUUAAAUUAAGGAGUGUAGUGUUAGGAAUUGUUUCCUUACUCGGGAUGGCGUCACUCCAAGCCUCAAGGAUGAUGCUCUGAGGAGACACUGAAGAGCUGUGAAGAGCUGGGAGGUGGCAGGUACAGGGGGGAGCAGCUCCUGGCUUCCCUGGAGCAUCCCCCUGAAGCUGACAUUUAUGAUGACUGCUGAAUCAUGCACAGAAACUCUCAUAGAAGAGAGAGCAAAGACUUCCUCAGACAGUGCUCAGCAGUGAUGGAUGCUUGAAUGGACUUUCCUGGCUGCUACUGCAGAGAAGGCUCAGGACAUGUUUCCACAAGGAUGCUUCCCAAUGGUUCUACAAAUCCUGCUGUGCACCCCACCCAAAGCCCCACUGAGGAGGGUCACUGCUGAUGAGGGGGGGCACAGCUCCAGCUCCUUUGCUCCUGAGCACUUUCUGCUGCUGGCUUUGCCUCUCUACCUGCUGUUUAUAGAUGGAUUACAGAGCCCUUGCUGAUGGAGGCUUCCUGCUCACACUUGUCACUAGAGGAAAACUGAGUUUGGGAUUUUGUCAAGCCCUGUGAGAAUGACCUGCUAACUCCAAAAUAACUGUGACACCGUGAGCGACACUCUGGGGGUGAGUACAGAGGGAAAGGAGUAUGGGUUGCUGCCCCAAGUGGGCUUCUGAGUAGUCCUGCAUGGUCUGUGAGAGCAAUGGGUGGAUGCUUACUUGAAUAUCUAACUUCAGAGAAUGCUGUGCUUAAACCCAGGCCUUUUGUGCUCCUCUGCAAAGCUUGCUUGGUGUUACUAGAGUUGUGGGUCAUUUACUCAAAUGCUGGGAGAAGUGUCUUUUGACUUAGUUAUCCAGUACCUUUUGGGAAAGGGGCAAGGGAUGAGGAAGCAGUCACAGCUUCAGAAAAACUUAGAUUGCCACUGAAGAUGAGAGGAAGCCAUCACUGCUGAUGGAUGAUGGAGUCAGUCCUCCCCUUUUUCACCUAGUGCAGGACAGGAGCCUCUUGUCAGAGCUGCCAAACUGCUCCACAUGUACAUGAGUACAGAAUAGGCCCCUGAAACUGUGGGAGAUCUGUCUGGGUCCUGUUUCCUCUGAAUUUACAGCAGCUGGCAGACUAAGGUGACACAUCCUCUCCUCAGUGCUUUCAAUACCAAUUGGGAUUAAAAAAUUUCAAGGAGUGCAGAGUGUGAUCUACCAUACUUUUUCUGGAAGUGAUGAAAUAAUUUACACUUUCCACAUUAGGGUAGACUGGUUAUCCUUAGAACAAUCACCCACCUGAGCUGGCAGACAGGGACAGGGAACAGAAAAGACCCCCUGUGAUCUAGGAGAAGGUGGGUAGUGACCUGCUGUGCCACUUAGAUGCACGCAAGUCUGUUGGGCAGAAUGGAACUCACCUGAAGGUUCUGAGGGAGCUGCUGGCAGGGCUCACCAAGCCACUGCCCAUCAUUCACCAUCAGCCCUGGCUGACCACAGAGGCCCCAGGUGACUGGAGGCUGGUCAGUGUGACACUCAUCCACAGGAAGGGUUGGAAGGAGGAUCUGGGGAGCUCCAGGCCUGUCAGCCUGGCCGCAGUGCCUGGGGAGGUUAUGGAACAGAUCUUGAGUGUGAUCACACAGCACAUACAGGACAACCAGGGCAUCAAAGACAGCCAGAAUGGGUUUGGGAAAGGCAGGUCCUGCCUGGCCAACCAGAUCUCCUUUUAUGACCAGGUGAUAAGUGCCUUAUUGAACACAGUAAUCGAUGACUGGACAUGGCACUCAGUGCUAUGGUCUGGUUGACAAAGUGGUGAUUAGUAAAAGGUUGAACUUGAUGAUCUUGGAGGUCUUUUCCAACCUCAAUGAUUCUGUGAGUCUACGAUGUUAUGUUGUAUUUCUUUUUUGACUUUUCUAUAAAUACAAGCAGCUAUUAAGAAUGCCUCUGACUAUUAUAUCCAAGGAUAAGUGUUUAAGAUACAUGAGAGAUACUCAGGGAAUUGGUAAGCCUUCAGUAGAAAAAAAUGUCCGGAGAUCAAUUUCCUGAAUCAGUAAUGAAGGCAUCAUAUCGUAUAAAAUGUAAUGUGAUUGUCCGUGGCCUUAAUAAAAUCUUGACUUUUCCACCA
Molecule: long non-coding RNA, 2419 nt
Filed under: Parus major (Great Tit)
Lineage: Eukaryota; Metazoa; Chordata; Aves; Passeriformes; Paridae
Description: lncRNA (ENSPMJG00000002623.1)
Source: RNAcentral